This 253-nucleotide ribosomal RNA is filed under the name uncultured bacterium. RNAcentral describes it as "partial 16S ribosomal RNA". It matches the Rfam family "Bacterial small subunit ribosomal RNA", at positions 524 to 776 of the family's 1533-position model. The record is from RNAcentral.
UACAGAGGGUGCGAGCGUUGUUCGGAAUUAUUGGGCGUAAAGCGCUUGUAGGCGGCACGUCAAGUCGCGUGUGAAAUCCCCAGGCUUAACCUGGGAAGUGCGCGCGAAACUGACGAGCUUGAGUGCCGGAGAGGGUCGCGGAAUUCCCGGUGUAGAGGUGAAAUUCGUAGAUAUCGGGAGGAACACCGAUGGCGAAGGCAGGUCUCUGGGCAUUAACUGACGCUGAGGAGCGAAAGCAUGGGGAGCGAACAGG